Vicugna pacos (alpaca) is the source of this 554-nucleotide non-coding RNA. Lineage: Eukaryota; Metazoa; Chordata; Mammalia; Artiodactyla; Camelidae. The record is from RefSeq and is a predicted model, not a curated record.
CAGAUAGGGAAUCAACCUCCAAGGAAUGAAGGGAAUUUCCAAGGUCACACGGGUAGUGCUAGAGUUAGGAUGGCACAUCGCGACACCAGUCUUACAUACGAUGUCCCAAGGAAACAGAUCUUCUGACUCUUGGGACCUCCACCUGCUCACUGUACUUCUGCUGGUCAUUAUCCCCAAGCAAUACCUGAUUCUACUGUGAGUUAUGUUGCUUGUCAAAGCAAGGAGGAAAUUGAGAGGAGGAUAUAAGACUGAUGAGAUUUCUGGAUUGUGAGGAGUAAUGUAUGAAGUUUCAUACUGCUGCUCCUACACCCCUUCAAAGAGAAAGUCAGAAGUUGCAACUGGGUGGGAAACUGCUGGAACGAUGGAUUCCAAGUGUGGAGCAAUUGAUUCCAACUGUGGCGGUGAUGAGAUGUGAGGGCUGGGAGAGAGAUGUUGAGAAUUGCUACCAGGUGUUUGACAGGAGUGUACAGAUGCAAUCAAUUACCGAAUGCUUACCAUGUGCCAUUCACUCUGCUGGGCACCGAACAUGAACGUGCAAAGGUGGGUGAAAUAAG